UNGCAUGUGGCCAAGCGGAGUAGGUGCCAGC
This 31-nucleotide non-coding RNA is filed under the name Homo sapiens (human). Lineage: Eukaryota; Metazoa; Chordata; Mammalia; Primates; Hominidae. The record is from RNAcentral.